UACGUAGGGGGCUAGCGUUGUCCGGAUUUAUUGGGCGUAAAGAGCGUGUAGGCGGCCAGGUAGGUCUGCUGUGAAAACUCGAGGCUCAACCUCGAGACGUCGGCGGAAACCAUCUGGCUAGAGUCCGGAAGAGGAGAGUGGAAUUCCUGGUGUAGCGGUGAAAUGCGCAGAUAUCGGGAGGAACACCAAUGGCGAAGGCAGCUCGCUGGGACGUUACUGACGCUGAGACGCGAAAGCGUGGGGAGCAAACAGG
RNAcentral lists this ribosomal RNA (253 nucleotides) under uncultured bacterium. RNAcentral describes it as "partial 16S ribosomal RNA". It matches the Rfam family "Bacterial small subunit ribosomal RNA", at positions 524 to 776 of the family's 1533-position model. The record is from RNAcentral.